RNAcentral lists this long non-coding RNA (1101 nucleotides) under Mus musculus (house mouse). RNAcentral's name for it is "long non-coding RNA chr2:122044663-122045764". Lineage: Eukaryota; Metazoa; Chordata; Mammalia; Rodentia; Muridae. The record is from RNAcentral.
AAAAAGGGAUUUUAAAGAAUGUAUCUUGCUAAGUGUUUAUAGUAAAGUACUAGGUUCUAAUGUUAUUUCAUUAUUUCUCGUGUUAUUUUAUCUAUUUUUAUUUUGCUUAAUUUUGUUUCUGUUUUGUUGACUGGUUUUUGUUUCUCUCUUGUGGUUGAGACUGGCCUCAGACUUGCUGUGUGGCUGAGGAUGACAUAGACUUGGUGAUCCUUGUCUCUUCCCUACUGAGUAGAAGGAUUUCAGGCAUGCUACCACGCCUGACUAUUUUGUCUUAGUCUAUUUCCAGCUUAAGAUUUUCUGUUUUUAAGACAGGGUUGUAAUAUGGAGUCCAGGCUAAUGUGGAACUUACUGACCCUACUGCUUCAACAUCCUGAUCAUGUUUUGUUUUGUUUUUUUUAGACAGAGUUUCUCUAUGUAACCCUGGCUGUCCUUGACCUUACCGCCUGGCUUUGAGCAUUUGUCACAAGCUUAAGUUUUGAAUUCUUUUUCUGUUUUUUCUUUUACUUUUCAAGUCAGGGAUUCACUGUGCAGACUAGACUAUUUUGAAUUUACAGAGUUAGAUUAAAGGUGUGCUUUAUUUUUGAACAUAAAAGUGUUUAGAAAUGAAAUCUUAAAAAUGAUACGCUCAGAAAAGCCUGAUUGGUAAGAGAGAUCUUAAUAGUUUAUUUGUAUGAUUUAGUCAUUUCACAGUGUAUACAUACAUAUUUAACGUGUACAGUGUAAAUACUUCCUUCUGUCUGUCUGUCCGUCCGUCCUUUCUGCUUUUUGGAGAAAGGGUUUUUCUGUAGCCCUGGCUGUCCUAAAACUUGCUCUGUAGACCAGGCUGGCUUUGUACUUCCACAUAUCUGCUUGCCUCUGCCUCCCAAAUGCUGGGACUAAAGGUAUAUGCAACCACCACUGGGCUAUUUUUAUCUUUUUAAAUCAACUAUACCUUAGUAAAGCUAGGGAGAGAGGUCCUAAGCAUCUAUCUAUCUAUCUAUCUAUCUAUCUAUCUAUCUAUCUAUCUAUCUAUCUAUCUAUCAAUAAAAAAGUAUUUUCACUAAUUUCCACUGUCCCCACCCCACCCCUUUGGUUUUUUUUUUUUUUAAAGAUUUAUUUACU